AGAAACCAGCUUACCAAUUAAGA
Molecule: microRNA, 23 nt
Filed under: Callorhinchus milii (elephant shark)
Lineage: Eukaryota; Metazoa; Chordata; Chondrichthyes; Chimaeriformes; Callorhinchidae
Description: eshark_NOVEL_175
Source: RNAcentral